CCUACGGGGGGCUGCAGUGGGGAAUAUUGCACAAUGGGGGAAACCCUGAUGCAGCAACGCCGCGUGAGUGAAGAAGUAUUUCGGUAUGUAAAGCUCUAUCAGCAGGGAAGAAAAUGACGGUACCUGAGUAAGAAGCCCCGGCUAACUACGUGCCAGCAGCCGCGGUAAUACGGAGGGGGCAAGCGUUAUCCGGAUUUACUGGGUGUAAAGGGAGCGUAGACGGCAGUGCAAGUCUGGAGUGAAAGGCGGGGGCUCAACCCCCGGACUGCUCUGGAAACUGUACGGCUGGAGUGCAGGAGAGGUAAGUGGAAUUCCUGGUGUAGCGGUGAAAUGCGUAGAUAUUAGGAGGAACACCAGUGGCGAAGGCGGCUUACUGGACUGUAACUGACGUUGAGGCUCGAAAGCGUGGGGAGCAAACAGGAUUAGAUACCCGGGUAGUC
This 440-nucleotide ribosomal RNA is filed under the name uncultured bacterium. Its description in RNAcentral is "partial 16S ribosomal RNA". It matches the Rfam family "Bacterial small subunit ribosomal RNA", at positions 338 to 795 of the family's 1533-position model. The record is from RNAcentral.